Molecule: ribosomal RNA, 457 nt
Filed under: uncultured bacterium
Lineage: Bacteria
Description: bacterial SSU rRNA
Rfam family: Bacterial small subunit ribosomal RNA
Source: RNAcentral
AGAGUUUGAUCCUGGCUCAGGACGAACGCUGGCGGCGUGCUUAAUACAUGCAAGUCCCACGGGGAUUAUUUGGAGUUCGGCUUCGGCCAAACGAAGGAUAAUCCUAGUGGCGAACGGGUGAGUAACGCGUGGGUAAUCUGCCCUCUUGACCGGGAUAACAGCUCGAAAGGGCUGCUAAUACCGGAUACGAACAUGCUUCGGAUGGGGCAUGUUGAAAGGAUGCCAUGGCAUCGCAGGAGGAUGAGCCCGCGUCCCAUUAGCUAGUUGGUGGGGUAAUGGCCUACCAAGGCGACGAUGGGUAGCCGGCCUGAGAGGGUGGACGGCCACACUGGGACUGAGACACUGCCCGGACUCCUACGGGAGGCUGCAGUAACGAAUAUUCCGCAAUGGGCGCAAGCCUGACGGAGCAAUGCCGAGUGCAGGAUGAAGCGGCUUCGCCGUGUAAACUGCUGUCAGG